AUACGGAGGAAAAGAAACCAACUGGGAUUACCUUAGUAACGGCGAGUGAAGCGGUAAAAGCUCAAAUUUGAAAUCUGGUACUUUCAGUGCCCGAGUUGUAAUUUGUAGAAUUUGUCUUUGAUUAGGUCCUUGUCUAUGUUCCUUGGAACAGGACGUCAUAGAGGGUGAGAAUCCCGUUUGGCGAGGAUACCUUUUCUCUGUAAGACUUUUUCGAAGAGUCGAGUUGUUUGGGAAUGCAGCUCAAAGUGGGUGGUAAAUUCCAUCUAAAGCUAAAUAUUGGCGAGAGACCGAUAGCGAACAAGUACAGUGAUGGAAAGAUGAAAAGAACUUUGAAAAGAGAGUGAAAAAGUACGUGAAAUUGUUGAAAGGGAAGGGCAUUUGAUCAGACAUGGUGUUUUUUGCAUGCACUCGCCUCUCGUGGGCUUGGGCCUCUCAAAAAUUUCACUGGGCCAACAUCAAUUCUGGCAGCAGGAUAAAUCAUUAAGAAUGUAGCUACUUCGGUAGUGUUAUAGCUUUUUGGAAUACUGUUAGCCGGGAUUGAGGACUGCGCUUCGGCAAGGAUGUUGGCAUAAUGGUUAAAUGCCGCCCGUCUUG
This 594-nucleotide ribosomal RNA is filed under the name Hanseniaspora uvarum. Its description in RNAcentral is "eukaryotic LSU rRNA". It matches the Rfam family "Eukaryotic large subunit ribosomal RNA", at positions 48 to 656 of the family's 3401-position model. Lineage: Eukaryota; Fungi; Ascomycota; Saccharomycetes; Saccharomycodales; Saccharomycodaceae. The record is from RNAcentral.